UUGACGUGAACACCUCCGACUGGCCAGCAGUCAGGACCGGCAGGGGGGGAUUUCGGGAGCCCCAGAAUCCCGGCUCCCUUUUCUAGUCCCUAGAAACUCUCAGGAAUGAUCUUCAGCCUGGGAAGAGGAGGGUACAGAAAUCCAAGAUAAGGAUGGAGCUAGCAGGAAGGAGCUCUGGAUGCUCGCAACCCAACCCAACCCAACCCAACAAACCGAGAUUAAGCAAUGGAUCAAACAGCAAACAUUUAAAAAGUGAUUAGCAUUUGCCAGGAGCAAUUUGCUAAGAACUUGAGGGCUCCAAGAGAAGGUUUUAGUCUCUGCUUCCUGAAAAUUUGAAUUCUAAUGGAAAGACAAGCCCUUUGGAAGGUGGAUAGCAGAACCUACAGGAAUGGAUAGGUGAUGACCUUUUAGAGGAAGACUCAGGCAAAUUAUGGAAGGCCACCUGCACAAGCACUGGGAGUAGAGACAAAAAUGAAACUAUUUCUGCCAUUCAAGAGCUUGCGUUCCAUCAAAGGACUCGGUACAUGUUUGUGGAAAAUGAAUUGAUGAUGAUGAAAAGUGCGCUGAAAGAUGCGGAUUGUGAUCAAGAAGUGAAAGAAAGCAGUGAAAGAAAUACAGGAAGACUUGAAUUCAAAUAAUCCCUCUGACCUAUGUGAUGCUGAACACGUUUCCUUGAAGCUCAGUGCCCCAGGUGGUCUUGAAGAUUAUAAAUGUCAAGAGCUGAUCUGUCUUGAAUAAGGGAGUUUCCUUAUUUGGAAUUCUCUGGACCAACGAAAUCACAGGUUCUGUGUAAAAAACAAAACAACAACAACAACAACAACAACAACAACACACACACACACAC
Molecule: long non-coding RNA, 844 nt
Organism: Sarcophilus harrisii (Tasmanian devil)
Lineage: Eukaryota; Metazoa; Chordata; Mammalia; Dasyuromorphia; Dasyuridae
Exons: 4
Source: RefSeq, a predicted model, not a curated record